Molecule: ribosomal RNA, 307 nt
Filed under: uncultured bacterium
Lineage: Bacteria
Description: partial 16S ribosomal RNA
Rfam family: Bacterial small subunit ribosomal RNA
Source: RNAcentral
UAGGGAAUCUUCGGCAAUGGGGGCAACCCUGACCGAGCAACGCCGCGUGAGUGAAGAAGGUUUUCGGAUCGUAAAGCUCUGUUGUAAGUCAAGAACGGGUGUGAGAGUGGAAAGUUCACACUGUGACGGUAGCUUACCAGAAAGGGACGGCUAACUACGUGCCAGCAGCCGCGGUAAUACGUAGGUCCCGAGCGUUGUCCGGAUUUAUUGGGCGUAAAGCGAGCGCAGGCGGUUUGAUAAGUCUGAAGUUAAAGGCUGUGGCUCAACCAUAGUUCGCUUUGGAAACUGUCAAACUUGAGUGCAGAAG